UUCCUUGUCGGGUAAGUUCCGACCUGCAUGAAAGGCGUAAUGACUGAUACACUGUCUCAACUAGUAACCCGGUGAAAUUGUAGUCGUGGUGAAGAUGCCACGUACCCGCAGUAAGACGGAAAGACCCCGUGAACCUUUACUGUAUGCUGAUAUUGGGCUGUGGUCUCAUUUGUGUAGGAUAGGUGGGAGGCGAUGAAGUUGAUGCGCUAGCAUUGAUGGAGCCAACGUUGAAAUACCACCCUGAUGAUACUUUAGUUCUAACACUGAUUCCCGUGAAUCCGGGCGGUGGACAUUGUCAGUUGGGCAGUUUGACUGGGGCGGUCUCCUCCGAAAGAGUAACGGAGGAGUUCAAUGGUACCCUCAGCCUGUUUGGCAAUCAGGCGUUGAGCGUAAUGGUAGAAGGGUGCUUGACUGCGAGACUUAUAAGUCGAGCAGAUACGAAAGUAGGACAUAGUGAUCCGGUAGUCCCGAAUGGAAGGGCUAUCGCUCACCAGAUAAAAGGUACUCCGGGGAUAACAGGCUUAUCGCUCCCGAGCGUCCAUAGCGGCGGAGCGGUUUGGCACCUCGAUGUCGGCUCAUCACAUCCUGGGGGUGGAGGCGCUCCCAAGGGUUUGGCUGUUCGCCAAUUAAAGUGGUACGUGAGCUGGGUUCAGACCGUCGUGAGACAGGUCGGUCCCUAUCUGCUGUGGGCGCACGAAACUUGAGGAGGUUCAAUCUUAGUACGAAAGGACUUAAUUGGACGUAGCUCUGGUGUUCCAGUUGUCUCGCUAGAGGCACGGCUGGGUAGCUAUCUACGGAAUGGAUAAACGCUGAAAGCAUAUAAGCGUGAAGUCGGCUCCAAGAUUAGGUUUCGUUGCAGCAAUGUGAGAGUCCCCUGGUAGACUACCAGGUCGAUAGGUCGAAUGUGUAAGCCCCGUAAGGGGUUCAGCUAAGCGAUACUAAAGGACGAAUGCUUGAUCAC
This 961-nucleotide ribosomal RNA is filed under the name Planctomycetaceae bacterium. RNAcentral describes it as "partial 23S ribosomal RNA". It matches the Rfam family "Bacterial large subunit ribosomal RNA", at positions 1965 to 2925 of the family's 2925-position model. Lineage: Bacteria; Pseudomonadati; Planctomycetota; Planctomycetia; Planctomycetales; Planctomycetaceae. The record is from RNAcentral.